UCAAAGGAUUGUGCCACGUG
RNAcentral lists this non-coding RNA (20 nucleotides) under Arabidopsis thaliana (thale cress). The record is from RNAcentral. Lineage: Eukaryota; Viridiplantae; Streptophyta; Magnoliopsida; Brassicales; Brassicaceae.